UUAAACUCCAGAAGUAGGGCU
Molecule: microRNA, 21 nt
Filed under: Gossypium raimondii (Peruvian cotton)
Lineage: Eukaryota; Viridiplantae; Streptophyta; Magnoliopsida; Malvales; Malvaceae
Description: gra-miR8644
Source: miRBase by way of RNAcentral